GCGUGUUAGUGAUGAUUAAAGAAGUUAAAAAUGGUGAAUCCUGGAUUAAUGGGCUCGCGUGCCGCUGUGUGCGCGCGGCCGGAGAUUCUCUCUCUGUUCUUCUGUGAGUUCUUC
This is a non-coding RNA of Oryza meridionalis, 114 nucleotides long. NCBI's taxonomy places the organism in Eukaryota, Viridiplantae, Streptophyta, Magnoliopsida, Poales, Poaceae. The record is from Rfam.